This 591-nucleotide long non-coding RNA is filed under the name Eutrema salsugineum. Its description in RNAcentral is "long non-coding RNA (ESAL_LNC000406)". Lineage: Eukaryota; Viridiplantae; Streptophyta; Magnoliopsida; Brassicales; Brassicaceae. The record is from RNAcentral.
UGGGAGUUUGUGGACAACCAGACUUUCCGUGCGGCCGAAGUUUACUUACAGAGGCGUCUUGCCGGACUCUCCACCGGAAAACUCGUCGUGGGUUCGAGCAGUCUCAAGAAUCCAGAGGCUCAGCUGAAACUUGGAGUCCCUGUAAACACAAAAAUCAUCGAUGAGUUCGAAGGGAUUCAUCUCGAGUGGACUCUACACUCUUCUGAAACUAAGUUGUAUCCUUACGAGAAACGGUACAAUCUGUUUUUCUCCUCUCCUUGACUCUAAUCUUUAAUCUUUUUUUUUUUUUUUUUUUGAUUGCUUUCGUGGAUGUUUUAGGUACUUUCAUCUGACAUGUGAGGAGGAGUUUCGUGAGAAGAUAAUGACAGAUUACUUCACAUACUUGACUAAAUCAGCAGAGAAGACACUUAAACAUCGCGAGAAUCUCCAUAUCUACACUUACAGCGAAGACGAAUGGGAAGCCGCCAUUUUCGAACACCACACAACCUUCGAGACGCUAGCCAUUGAGCCGAACCUUAAGACCACAAUGAUCGACGAUCUUGACGCUUUCUCUAAAGGAAAAGACUUCUUCAAGAGCGUGGGACGUCCUUG